GGCCUCCCAAUUCUCACCACCGGCUGCGUUCUUUACUCUGACUGUAUAGAAAGAGGAGGGACAGUGAACGCGCCCCAUAUAGAGCUCAACACAGGCCUGGUCUGUAGUGUGAACUGGGGACCAAAA
Small nucleolar RNA from Suncus etruscus (white-toothed pygmy shrew), 126 nucleotides. RefSeq annotates it as small nucleolar RNA SNORA51. Lineage: Eukaryota; Metazoa; Chordata; Mammalia; Eulipotyphla; Soricidae. The transcript has a single exon. The record is from RefSeq and is a predicted model, not a curated record.